UACGUAGGGUGCAAGCGUUGUCCGGAAUUAUUGGGCGUAAAGAGCUUGUAGGCGGUUUGUCGCGUCUGCUGUGAAAUUUCGGGGCUCAACCCCGAACUUGCAGUGGGUACGGGCAGACUAGAGUGUGGUAGGGGAGACUGGAAUUCCUGGUGUAGCGGUGAAAUGCGCAGAUAUCAGGAGGAACACCGAUGGCGAAGGCAGGUCUCUGGGCCAUAACUGACGCUGAGAAGCGAAAGCAUGGUGAGCGAACAGG
RNAcentral lists this ribosomal RNA (253 nucleotides) under uncultured bacterium. RNAcentral describes it as "partial 16S ribosomal RNA". It matches the Rfam family "Bacterial small subunit ribosomal RNA", at positions 524 to 776 of the family's 1533-position model. The record is from RNAcentral.